This 92-nucleotide transfer RNA is filed under the name Sporisorium scitamineum. Its description in RNAcentral is "transfer RNA-Thr(CGT)". It matches the Rfam family "tRNA". Rfam says of the family: Transfer RNA (tRNA) molecules are approximately 80 nucleotides in length. Their secondary structure includes four short double-helical elements and three loops (D, anti-codon, and T loops). The record is from RNAcentral. Lineage: Eukaryota; Fungi; Basidiomycota; Ustilaginomycetes; Ustilaginales; Ustilaginaceae.
GCUCUCUUAGCUCAGUGGGAGAGCGCGCCACUCGUACGGUGCCUGCGUACCUCGAAAUGGUGAGGUCACUAGUUCAAUCCUGGUAGGGAGCA